UACGGAAGGCAGCAGUGGGGAAUAUUGCACAAUGGGCGAAAGCCUGAUGCAGCUAUGCCGCGUGUAUGAAGAAGGCCUUAGGGUUGUAAAGUACUUUCACCGGGGAGGAAAAAACAAAACUAAUAAUUUUAUUUCUUGACGUUACCCGAAAAAGAAGCACCGGCUAACUCCGUGCCAGCAGCCGCGGUAAUACGGAGGGUGCUAGCGUUAAUCAGAAUUACUGGGCGUAAAGAGCACGUAGGUGGUUUUUUUAAGUCAGAUGUGAAAUCCCUGGGCUUAACCUGGAACUGCAUUUUGAAACUGAAAUACUAGAGUAUCGUAGAGGGAGGUAGAAUUCUAGGUGUAGCGGUGAAAUGCGUAGAUAUCUGGAGGAAUACCUGUGGCGAAAGCGGCCUCCUAAACGAAUACUGACACUGAGGUGCGAAAGCGUGGGGAGCAAACAGGGAUUAGAUACC
This 455-nucleotide ribosomal RNA is filed under the name uncultured bacterium. Its description in RNAcentral is "bacterial SSU rRNA". It matches the Rfam family "Bacterial small subunit ribosomal RNA", at positions 340 to 786 of the family's 1533-position model. The record is from RNAcentral.